CUGCGCAGGCCAGGGCUGUGUUAUGGGUCGUAAAGCGGUCCUAAAGAUAAGCAGCGGUCCAUAGGUUCCUCUGCGGUCCAGAGGUUAGUGAUAGCAGGGUAAGACCUAGCUGGCAUAGGGAGCGGGUUCAACCAUUGUGGUUCUGGCGGAGCUGAAGACAGCAUCGGUCCGGUCCCGGACCCAACGGUCUGCUGCUGCCCAGCCAACAUAGCCGACCAACAGGAGGCCAGGUAAGCUGUCAUAUGACCCGAUUCAACAGAGUUCACUUGACCUCUUCCUUUUAGCUCAUUAUGGAGUAACUGCCAUCCUUCAACCAAUAGACAGGCUCAAUUACUCAAUACUAUUGCGACUGUUACUGUGUUUUCAACAGGGAUCACAUUAGGCGAUACACACAAGAUACGCUGGAAGAAAAGAAAGGUAGUAGGCUAAUUCAGAGAAGGGUUCUUGGUCUUAGAGACAGUAGGGCUGUUUGGGGGCUUCCUUUUAUGCCUUUCUGAAAAGAACAGGCGUAAACUCCUCACAGACCGACUUCAGACACUAUGAUAGAGUACAGUAUAUUGUUGUAGUAGUGCAUUAUUGCACGGCAUGUGUCAGACAUACAGUCCAGACACACAGACAGAGAGUGACUGAGUAAGUUUAGAGAGUUGCUGGGUGUUAAUUGAGGUACUUGAUCUGAAUCCAAUAGUGUCUGAUGCUGCGAGCUGACAGACUAAAAGGGUUGUGAAAUCAACAUCACACACACACACACACACACACACACACACACACACACACACACACACACACACACACACACACACACACACACACACACACACACACACACACACACACACACACACACACACACACACACACACACACACUGUAGUUACCCUGCAAUUAACAAGCUGUGUCUGGGCAACCCGAUACACACUGACUAAGUACAGAGGGGGGAGGAAGCGAAAGAAAGAGAGGAAGAGAAGAGGGGACAAGAGAGGUAGGGUAGAGAGUGAGUGGUAAAGGGAGAGAAAGAAAGAGAGGAAGAGAAGAGGGGACAAGAGAGGUAGGGUAGGGAGUGAGUGGUAAAGGGAGAGAAAGAAAGAGAGGAAGAGAAGAGGGGACAAGAGAGGUAGGGUAGGGAGUGAGUGGUAAAGGGAGAGAAAGAAAGAGAGGAAGAGAAGAGGGGACAAGAGAGGUAGGGUAGGGAGUGAGUGGUAAAGGGAGAGAAAGAAAGAGAGGAAGAGAAGAGGGGAUAAGAGAGGUAGGGUAGAGAGUGAGUGGUAAAGGGAGAGAAAGGGGGAAGAAGGGUUGGUGACCUGGGUAACCUGGUUCUUCUAUCGUCUUCUCUCACACUUUCUCCUUCCACUUCUUUUUACUUGUCCUCUCAUCUUCCUUUCUCCCCUCCUGUCCUCUCUUCUCUUUCCCCUCUAUUUCCCACUGUCCUCCACUCUCUCCUUUCUAUUCAUCUCAUCUUUCACCUCCUCUCUCCUCCUCCUCUCCUCCCUCUCCUUAACUCUUGCAGGUGUUAUCUCUCUCUUAAGCGGAGGCAAUUACCCGUCGACCUCAUAAAUAAUUAAUCUGAUAGGCUCGUUAAUUAUUAAUGUUAAUUGCUGAUUUAGGUUUCCUUCAACACAAAAAGACACAAGGGAGGGGAGAAUGCCAACAACUCUAAGGUCAAAGAGUCUCUCACACACACACACACACACACACACACACACACACACACACACACACACACACACACACACACACACACACACACACACACACACACACACACACACACACACACACACACACACACACACAGGGUUAGAUGAAGGUGACAGCGGUAGGGUUCAGGGUAAGGGUUAGAUGAAGUUGGUAGGGUUCAGGGUUGGGUAAGAUGAAGGUGGUAGGGUUGAGGGUUGGGGUUAGAUGAAGGUGGUAGGGUUCAGGGUUAGGGUAAGAUGAAGGUGGUAGGGUUCAAGGUUAGGGUUAGAUGAAGGUGACAGUGCUAGGGUUCAGGGUUAGGGUUAGAUGUAGGUGACAGUGGUAGGGUUCAGGGUAAGGGUUAGAUGAAGGUGGUAGGGUUCAGGGUUAGGGCUAGAUGAAGGUGCUAGGGUUCAGGGUUAGGGUUAGAUGAAGGUGCUAGGGUUCAGGGUAAGGGUUAGAUGAAGGUGGUAGGGUUUAGGGUAAGGGUUAGAUGAAGGUGGUAGGGUUCAGGGUUAGAUGAAGGUGCUAGGGUUCAGGGUAAGGGUUAGAUGAAGGUGGUAGGGUUCAGGGUUAGGGUUAGAUGAAGUUGGUAGGGUUCAGGGUUAGGGUUAGAUGAAGGUGGUAGUGUUCAGGGUAAGGGUUAGAUGAAGGUGCUAGGGUUCAGGGUUAGGGUAAGAUGAAGGUGGAAGGGUUCAGGGUUAGGGUUAGAUGAAGGUGCUAGGGUUCAGGGUUAGGGUUAGAUGAAGGUGGUAGGGUUCAGGGUUAGGGUUAGAUGAAGGUGCUAGGGUUUAGGGUAAGGGUUAGAUGAAGGUGGUAGGGUUCAGGGUUAGGGUUAGAUGAAGGUGCUAGGGUUCAGGGUUAGAUGAAGGUGCUAGGGUUCAGGGUUCAGGGUUAGAUGAAGGUGCUAGGGUUCAGGGUUCAGGGUUAGAUGAAGGUGCUAGGGUUCAGGGUUAGGGUUAGAUGAAGGUGCUAGGGUUCAGGGUUAGGGUUAGAUGAAGGUGCUAGGGUUCAGGGUUAGAUGAAGGUGGUAGGGUUCAGGGUUAGGGUUAGAUGAAGGUGCUAGGGUUCAGGGUUAGAUGAAGGUGGUAGGGUUCAGGGUUAGGGUUAGAUGAAGGUGGUAGGGUUCAGGGUUAGAUGAAGGUGGUAGGGUUCAGGGUUAGGGUUAGAUGAAGGUGCUAGGGUUCAGGGUUAGAUGAAGGUGGUAGGGUUCAGGGUUAGGGUUAGAUGAAGGUGGUAGGGUUCAGGGUUAGAUGAAGGUGGUAGGGUUCAGGGUUAGGGUUAGAUGAAGGUGCUAGGGUUCAGGGUUAGAUGAAGGUGCUAGGGUUUAGGGUAAGGGUUAGAUGAAGGUGGUAGGGUUCAGGGUAAGGGUUAGAUGAAGGUGGUAGGGUUCAGGGUUAGGGUUAGAUGAAGGUGGUAGGGUUCAGGGUUAGGGUUAGAUGAAGGUGGUAGGGUUCAGGGUUAGGGUUAGAUGAAGGUGACAGUGGUAAGGUUAAGGCUGUUGGGGAUAUGAUGAGUUAAAAGCCUCUAGCCAAGAAUCCAUGACAGAUUAGCUCAUGUACUUAACGUUGAUCAAUAAACUUGAUAGUGUCGAAAUGAACAGUGUAAUGGAUGGGCGUGAGCUGGCACUAACAGAUAUCUGUGUGUGGUACAAUGACACGAUUCAGGGACAUUAGGAAAUGCUUAUUGUAAAAACCAAUGAAAACUGAAACCUUUUCAUAUGGAUAGCUGUUCCCUAGCCCAAAUCAUGAUGUCACUGCACUAAGUUUGGACUUUGCACUUGAAGCUUUAUCUUUUAUCUUUGAGUUGUACUUGAAGUUCUAUUGAGUCAAGACUCACCCACUGACGUGUCUGUUUGCCUGUCUGCCUGUCCGUCUGUCUUUCUAGAAAGCCUGGAGGAGAUUUUUCUUUAAUGGAUGAGGGAAGGGACCGUUCUCUCCAGAGGAGUUGCUUGGAUGGACAAGACGGAGACAUAAAGGUGAUUGGAGGGAUUAGAGAAAGAGAGCUUCUGAUUGGAGAAAGAGAUUCUGACCUCCCGCCUUCAGUAACAAGGAUUCAUCCUGUUGUUGUAUUCUGAACUAGCAGGGAAUCUCUGUUACUGGGGGUGAGGGUUCCGUCACACACACGAAGACUCACACACAGACACACACCUUUGUUAUUUUACUGCUUACACUUCUCCUGUACUGUCCUAUGUAUGUACUGUAUCUAAUUUGAUUAAAGAUGUGAGAAGAUGUUCUUGACUUCUGGGGUCUGUAUUAUUAACUAGACUAUGUUUGUGUGAGGAAUUGCUUGACUCAGUGUUAAGGUUUUGCAGGGAGACAAUAUUGACUCAGUGUAGAGGUUUUGAAGGGAGACAGUAUUGACUCAGUGUAGAGGUUUUGAAGGGAGACAGUAUUGACUCAGUGUAGAGGUUUUGAAGGGAGACAGUAUUGACUCAUUGUAGAGGUUUUGCAGGGAGACAGUAUUGACUCAUUGUAGAGGUUUUGCGGGAGACAGUAUUGACUCAUUGUAGAGGUUUUGCAGGGAGACAGUAUUGACUCAGUGUAGAGGUUUUGCAGGGAGACAGUAUUGACUCAGUGUAGAGGUUUUGCGGGGAGACAGUAUUGACUCAGUGUCACGGGUGUCGUUGUGUAGCGAUGACCAAAACGCAGCGGGAAUGUGAAUGCUCAUCUUUAUAUUUAUUAAGUAAAGAGAACACGGAAAAACAACAAAACAAAGAACGACAGAUAACAGUUUAGCAGGCUAACAAUAAGCAGUGCAAAAUCAACUACCCACAAAAACCCCAGGUGAAAACAAGCUCCUAAUAUAUGACUCCCAAUCAGGAACAACGACGUACAGCUGUUCCUGAUCGGGAGCCACACAGACAACAAAGAAAUAGACAAACCAGAAAACCAUAGAAAACCAAAACCAGAACAUAUACUAAAACCCCGGAAUACAUAAACCAAACACCCCUUUAAUACUACACACACAACCCGAACCAUAUGAAACAAAUACUCUUCUGCCACGUCCUGACCAAACUACAAUACAAAUACUCCCUCUACUGGUCAGGACGUGACACUCAGUGUAGAGGUUUUGCAGGGAGACAGUAUUGACUCAGUGUAGAGGUUUUGCAGGGAGACAGUAUUGACUCAGUGUAGAGGUUUUGCAGGGAGACAGUAUUGACUCAGUUAAGAUGUUUUGCAGGGAGACAGUAUUGACUCAGUGUAGAGGUUUUUCAGUAAGACAGUAUUGACUCAGUUAAGAUGUUUUGCAGGGAGACAGUAUUGACUCAGUUAAGAUGUUUUGCAGGGAGACAGUAUUGACUCAGUGUAGAGGUUUUGCAGGGAGACAGUAUUGACUCAGUGUAGAGGUUUUGCAGGGAGACAGUAUUGACUCAGUGUAGAGGUUUUUCAGUUAGACAGUAUUGACUCAGUUAAGAUGUUUUGCAGGGAGACAGUAUUGCAAUUUUCCUGUGUGUGUAUUUACAUUUCCC
Molecule: long non-coding RNA, 5146 nt
Filed under: Salmo salar (Atlantic salmon)
Lineage: Eukaryota; Metazoa; Chordata; Actinopteri; Salmoniformes; Salmonidae
Description: lncRNA (ENSSSAG00000091225.1, ENSSSAG00000097085.1)
Rfam family: mir-459 microRNA precursor family (bases 3706-3786)
Source: RNAcentral